AUCGUUCAUCUCUCUUAGCCCAAUAAAAAUGUCGCUAACAGGGAGACGGAAGUAGGGACAAACCCCGAAGGAACGCGCC
This 79-nucleotide non-coding RNA is filed under the name Microcoleus sp. RNAcentral's name for it is "Glutamine-I sequence". It matches the Rfam family "Glutamine riboswitch aptamer (glnA leader)". RNAcentral also lists the same sequence under 1 other name. The record is from RNAcentral. Lineage: Bacteria; Bacillati; Cyanobacteriota; Cyanophyceae; Oscillatoriales; Microcoleaceae.